Molecule: non-coding RNA, 24 nt
Filed under: Arabidopsis thaliana (thale cress)
Lineage: Eukaryota; Viridiplantae; Streptophyta; Magnoliopsida; Brassicales; Brassicaceae
Source: RNAcentral
CAUUGUUACUAAGUAACGUCCUGC